CCUUCCUAAUGUCAAUAAAAUGGUCUAGUCAUACACAAAUAUCAAGGUAAAAAUGUGUCCCAGUACUGAAGGGGCUAAGUGUUCAUUUCUUUGUUUGGGAAAUUUAAGUGGUCUUCCAAAUAUAAAUGAACAAUAACUAACUUCUUAUUCCUUCCUGUCAUCUUUUCAAGCACACUGUUCUUUGUUGUUGCUUGUCCUUGUUCCAUUCUAUCUUCCUAUCACACUGCCAGCCAUAACUUGUGACUUCUUCUGUCAAUAUAGAGUUACAAAGCUUUCUACAUAUUUUCACAAGCCUGUCACUCUUUUCCUUUCUCUAGCAAAUACAUACAGCAUCUAUUUUGUUCAGCCCAGUGUGUGUCUUGUGUGAAUAUAGAGUGACAAAGCUUUAUUCAUAUCUCUACAACCUGUCACUCUUUUCUUUCUCUAACAAAUACAUAAAGCAUCUAUUUUGUUCAGUCGAGUGUGUGUCUUGUGUGAAUAGUGUGACAAAGCCUUCCUAUUUGUACAAACCUGUCAUUCUUUCCUUUCUCAGACAAAUUAUAUACUAUUUUGUUCAUCCCAGUGUGUGUGUGUGUGUGUGUGUGUGUGUGUGUGUGUGUGUGUGUGUGUGUGUGUGUGUGUGUGUGUGUGUGUGUGUGUAUGUGUGUGUGUGUGUGUGUGUGUGUGUGUGUGCGGUAAAAGACAACAUACAAGUGAUUUAACAAAAGUGCUAUGUGGCAACAAUAUAUUAGACUGCAGGUUGUAUUGAUUAACAUGUUAGGAAGAGUUUCACUGAUAAUAUUUGACAUUUUUACACUUAGGGAGAAAUAAGAAGCAGUAUUAGUGUGUAUGAGAGAGAGAGAGAGAGAAUAUGAAAAAAAAAAAUAAAUAUGACGUUUUUA
Long non-coding RNA from Portunus trituberculatus (swimming crab), 881 nucleotides. RefSeq lists it as uncharacterized. The transcript is spliced from 2 exons. Lineage: Eukaryota; Metazoa; Arthropoda; Malacostraca; Decapoda; Portunidae. The record is from RefSeq and is a predicted model, not a curated record.